RNAcentral lists this transfer RNA (72 nucleotides) under Penaeus chinensis. RNAcentral describes it as "tRNA-Trp". It matches the Rfam family "tRNA". Rfam says of the family: Transfer RNA (tRNA) molecules are approximately 80 nucleotides in length. Their secondary structure includes four short double-helical elements and three loops (D, anti-codon, and T loops). Lineage: Eukaryota; Metazoa; Arthropoda; Malacostraca; Decapoda; Penaeidae. The record is from RNAcentral.
GGCCCCGUGGCACAAUGGUAGCGCGUCUGACUCCAGAUCAGAAGGCUGGGUGUUCGAGUCACUCCGGGGUCA